Molecule: long non-coding RNA, 550 nt
Organism: Hyalella azteca
Lineage: Eukaryota; Metazoa; Arthropoda; Malacostraca; Amphipoda; Hyalellidae
Exons: 3
Source: RefSeq, a predicted model, not a curated record
GACAGCCAGUUUCCCGGGUCCAGCCAGCCACCAGCCAGUGUAGUGUCGCUGCUGGAUGUGGCGUACAGCCAGUAUGGCUUCAUCACCAACGAGGCUAUAAAUAGGCUGCGAGCGCAGCGGCGCGUCAGUGUCGUGCAGGCGCUCGAGGACGGCGUCACGCGCAACACGCUCCGCUCCGUCGGCCCUGAAUGUCUAUUGUCUAAAGAAGAACUCCAGGCGCUGGUGGAGCUAGUGCGGGGGGAACAGCCCGUGGGAGGCGAAGGGCGGGAGGCUCGACAAGCGGGGCACAACAGGGGAGGGGGGGCGCGCCACUACCACAGGGAGGGGGGAUACUGUGUCCCCUACCCCCUCCUGCGCUCCCUACUGCGCCACGCCUCCCUCUGGGGGGGCGCGGAUGACGUCACCCUCGACCAAUUGGCGGCUAGCGUCUUCCAGCUGCUGGACGUGGAGGGGGCGGGGGCGGUGAGCUUCAGGUCGGUGUGCUGGCUGCUGAGCGUCCUGAACGGCGGGGACGCCGCCCGCCACCUCCGCCUGCUGUACUGGCUGCACC